ACCGGGUGCAGUGGCAUGUGCCUGUAAUCCAAGUCACUGGGAGGCUGAGGUUGGUGGAUCAAGUGAGCUGAGGAGCUCUGGGCUGCAGCACACUAUGUUGAACGGGUGUCCACGCCAAGUUCGGUAUCGAUAUGGUGUUCCAGGGGGAGCCCGGGACCACCAGGUUGUCUAAGGAGGGGUGAACCGGCCCAGGUCGGAAACGAAGCAGGUCAAAUCCCCCGUGCUGUCCAGUAUUUGGAUAAUACCUGUGAGUAGAUGCUGCAGUGCAGCCUUGGCAAAACAUCGAGACCUAAUCUUUU
This is an unclassified non-coding RNA of Oncorhynchus kisutch (coho salmon), 299 nucleotides long. It matches the Rfam family "Metazoan signal recognition particle RNA". Rfam says of the family: The signal recognition particle (SRP) is a universally conserved ribonucleoprotein. It is involved in the co-translational targeting of proteins to membranes. The eukaryotic SRP consists of a 300-nucleotide 7S RNA and six proteins: SRPs 72, 68, 54, 19, 14, and 9. Lineage: Eukaryota; Metazoa; Chordata; Actinopteri; Salmoniformes; Salmonidae. The record is from Ensembl.